This 60-nucleotide small RNA is filed under the name Flavobacterium dankookense. RNAcentral describes it as "Flavobacterium sp. ARSA-19 Flavo-1 RNA". It matches the Rfam family "Flavo-1 RNA". The record is from Rfam by way of RNAcentral. Lineage: Bacteria; Pseudomonadati; Bacteroidota; Flavobacteriia; Flavobacteriales; Flavobacteriaceae.
CUUCAGCCCCGAUUGUAACGGAAAUCCUCGAAGAGAUUGUAGUGGAAAGCGGGAAUAAGG